CCUACGGGUGGCAGCAGUGAGGAAUAUUGGUCAAUGGACGAGAGUCUGAACCAGCCAAGUAGCGUGAAGGAUGACUGCCCUAUGGGUUGUAAACUUCUUUUAUAAAGGAAUAAAACGAGGCACGUGUGCCUUUUUGCAUGUACUUUAUGAAUAAGGAUCGGCUAACUCCGUGCCAGCAGCCGCGGUAAUACGGAGGAUCCGAGCGUUAUCCGGAUUUAUUGGGUUUAAAGGGAGCGUAGAUGGGUUGUUAAGUCAGUUGUGAAAGUUUGCGGCUCAACCGUAAAAUUGCAAUUGAUACUGGCAGUCGUGAGUACAGUUGAGGUAGGCGGAAUUCGUGGUGUAGCGGUGAAAUGCGUAGAUAUCACGAAGAACCCCGAUUGCGAAGGCAGCUUACUAAACUGUGACUGACAUUGAUGCUCGAAAGUGUGGGUAUCAAACAGGAUUAGAUACCCUGGUAGUC
RNAcentral lists this ribosomal RNA (460 nucleotides) under uncultured bacterium. Its description in RNAcentral is "partial 16S ribosomal RNA". It matches the Rfam family "Bacterial small subunit ribosomal RNA", at positions 338 to 795 of the family's 1533-position model. The record is from RNAcentral.